RNAcentral lists this ribosomal RNA (802 nucleotides) under uncultured bacterium. RNAcentral describes it as "bacterial SSU rRNA". It matches the Rfam family "Bacterial small subunit ribosomal RNA", at positions 1 to 803 of the family's 1533-position model. The record is from RNAcentral.
UUAUAGUUUGAUCCUGGCUCAAGAAGAACGCUAGCGGCAGGCUUAACACAUGCAAGUCGAGGGGCAGCAUGUCCAUCAAUGGAUGAUGGCGACCGGCGGAAGGGUGCGUAACGCGUGAGCAACAUGCCCUAUACAGGGAGAUACACCAGGGAAACUUGGUCUAAUAUCCCAUAGCAUUCAUUGAAGGCAUCUUUAAUGAAUUAAAGCUUCGGUGGUAUAGGAUUGGCUCGCGUGACAUUAGCCAGAUGGUGAGGUAACGGCUCACCAUAGCAAUGAUGUCUAGGGGUUUUGAGAGGAAGGCCCCCCACACUGGGACUGAGACACGGCCCAGACUCCUACGGGAGGCAGCAGUGAGGAAUAUUGGACAAUGGAUGGAAAUCUGAUCCAGCCAUGCCGCGUGCAGGAAGACGGCCUUAUGGGUUGUAAACUGCUUUUAUACGGGAGCAAUAAGGGUUACGAGUAAUCCGAUGAGAGUACUGUAUGAAUAAGGAUCGGCUAACUCCGUGCCAGCAGCCGCGGUAAUACGGAGGAUCCGAGCGUUAUCCGGAAUUAUUGGGUUUAAAGGGUGCGUAGGCGGCCAUUUAAGUCAGCGGUGAAAUUUUGCAGCUUAACUGUAACAGUGCCGUUGAUACUGUUUGGCUAGGAUUUGGUUGUAGUGUGCGGAAUGUGUGGUGUAGCGGUGAAAUGCUUAGAUAUCACACAGAACACCGAUUGCGAAGGCAGCACACUAAGUCAUUAUUGACGCUGAGGCACGAAAGUGUGGGGAUCAAACAGGAUUAGAUACCCUGGUAGUCCACACUGU